AAAGAUUUAAGUUAGUUAAACUAAGAACCUUCAAAGUUCUAAACAGAAGUUAAAUCUUCUAAUCUUUG
RNAcentral lists this transfer RNA (68 nucleotides) under Aneides flavipunctatus (black salamander). Its description in RNAcentral is "tRNA-Trp". It matches the Rfam family "tRNA". Rfam says of the family: Transfer RNA (tRNA) molecules are approximately 80 nucleotides in length. The record is from RNAcentral. Lineage: Eukaryota; Metazoa; Chordata; Amphibia; Caudata; Plethodontidae.